Molecule: ribosomal RNA, 440 nt
Filed under: uncultured organism
Description: bacterial SSU rRNA
Rfam family: Bacterial small subunit ribosomal RNA
Source: RNAcentral
CCUACGGGUGGCUGCAGUCGGGAAUAUUGGACAAUGGGGGAAACCCUGAUCCAGCAAUACCGCGUGUGUGAAGAAGGCCUGCGGGUUGUAAAGCACUUUCAGUUGGGAAGAUAAUGACGUUACCAACAGAAGAAGCACCGGCUAACUCCGUGCCAGCAGCCGCGGUAAUACGGAGGGUGCAAGCGUUAAUCGGAAUUACUGGGCGUAAAGCGCACGUAGGCGGCCUUUUAAGUCAGAUGUGAAAGCCCCGGGCUCAACCUGGGAACUGCAUCUGAUACUGGGAGGCUAGAAUCUGGGAGAGGGGAGUGGAAUUUCCGGUGUAGCGGUGAAAUGCAUAGAGAUCGGAAGGAACAUCAGUGGCGAAGGCGACUCCCUGGACCAAGAUUGACGCUCAGGUGCGAAAGCGUGGGUAGCAAACAGGAUUAGAAACCCUAGUAGUC